CCUGUCUCUCAAAUGCUAACUGAAGAAAUUAAUGUAAAAAUGGAAAGAAAAAAAAAUCCAACAGAACAAAUGAAAAACCAAAUACAUAUUUGUGCACAUACACAGUCAGGUUUAUAAAAGCUGCCUCAGCAGUCUGGAGAGCUCAGCUAAGUUAUCCCUCAGGUUGGUGGCACUGAGAAGACCAAAAACUACUGCCCUGCAGGGAGGAAAAACAGGAGGCUUCAGCUGUUUCAGCUACGGUCAAGACCUAGCUGAUGAUCUCAAGGGCUUGAACUUCGUGUUUGUCACUGCACACUGGGAGCAUCCCCAUUUGUUCUGAGCUUUAUGAUCUGCUUCUGCAGUCUUCUAGUUUGCUCUGCCUGUGCUCCACUCUUCCUGCUCUGGUUGCACAACUACCAGAAAACCCUCAUCACAAAACAGAAUAAAUGCAUGAAACCUC
Molecule: long non-coding RNA, 439 nt
Organism: Empidonax traillii (willow flycatcher)
Lineage: Eukaryota; Metazoa; Chordata; Aves; Passeriformes; Tyrannidae
Exons: 2
Source: RefSeq, a predicted model, not a curated record